This 235-nucleotide ribosomal RNA is filed under the name uncultured bacterium. RNAcentral's name for it is "partial 16S ribosomal RNA". The record is from RNAcentral.
UAAUCCGACCUAGGCUCAUCCAUCGACGCGAGGUCUUGCGAUCCCCCGCUUUCCCCCGAAGGGCGUAUGCGGUAUUAGCCAAUCUUUCGACUGGUUAUUCCCCAUCAUUGGGCAGAUUCCGAAGCAUUGCUCACCCGUUCGCCGCUCGUCAGCACGUAUUGCUACGCCUGUUACAGCUCGACUUGCAUGUGUUAAGCACGCCGCCAGCGUUCAAUCUGAGCCAGGAUCAAACUCU